Thalassophryne amazonica is the source of this 340-nucleotide long non-coding RNA. RefSeq lists it as uncharacterized. NCBI's taxonomy places the organism in Eukaryota, Metazoa, Chordata, Actinopteri, Batrachoidiformes, Batrachoididae. The transcript is spliced from 2 exons. The record is from RefSeq and is a predicted model, not a curated record.
UGGUUAUAUAUUCAGUAUCAACACUCAACAAUAAGCAGGAUACAUUAAAUACAUAAAAUCUACAGUGGCUGAGAGGGGCCACAGCACUUCCCAUUAGGACAGUACUAACAAAUGCAGAAGACACUGACAAAUAUGGUCUUACAUUUUAGAAAUUUUAAGAUAAAGAAGCCAAAUUUAUAGGUUUGUUUGUUUGUUGUUGUUUUUUUGAUGUUCUUAAAAAAUUCAAAUGUUUAAAAGCUUAAAAGGUACAUAAAUGUUUUGGCAGCACUGUACAAAAACAAAACAAAACAAAAACAAACAAACAAAAACCUACAUCAACUCAACAGCUGGUAGUUGUAUC